GAUUAAGAAAUCAUUAUAUGAAACUGAAAUGUAAGCUGAGUAAGUGAUCUCAAGUUCAUGCAGGCACCUGAAAAUAAUUUUGCUCUAUGAAUAUGUAUUUUGGAAAAGAAUGCCAUGAAUAUAACAACCAAACGACUGGGAAAAAAAUUCUAGAAUCUAAAAACAUGUUUGGCCGCCAGUUGACUCUAUGAAUAUGUCCUUUUGGGAACAGAGCAUCACAAAGAAUGCAAGGAUUUUUCUUUUCGGUAAUAAAAACAACAAUUGCAUCUAUAAGUGUGGAUAUUUCCCUUCCUGAUUUGGAUGUUCGCAGAGCAAAAAAUACAUCAGCUUUGUGAUUUGACAUUUUUUAAAAAAUUUAAAGUGUAUAUUUAAUUAAAAUAUCUAAUUAAAAAUAAGCGGAUGAAAUUAAAAAUAAUUUUCUGGUGUAAAAUGCAGAUUAUUUAAUUAAAAAAUUUCGCUUUAAGCUAAAGUGAAUUUUUAAAGUUUUGUUGUACUAAAGAGGAAAAUAUAUAAAGCAAAUCCAACAAUUAUUAAACUAGUCUGUUCUAGAUACAUUAUAAAAAAUAUUUUAUAUAAAAGAGCUUCUUUGGCAAAUAUUUAAAUUGGAUUUGAAAGCUUGAAAAUAUUUAGCAUUAAAACAGCUUUAAGUUGAAAAUCUAAGCCACUAUUUGCUCUGCGUCAUUUCCUUUUAAAUGAAAAAUUAGGCAGAAUCAACACUGGAGCGUACCACAAUUAUUAUACUACAAAUUACUUGAUACCUCAAUUGUCGUGCAAGUGAAUUAUGCUGAAAGAAAAUUACUUUACGAUGAAUGAAUAAAUGCAAUUAAAUGCUUUAUAUUUCAAUAUAGCAGAUAAAUAUUUGAUAUAAUAGUUUUUAUUUUAUUAAAUGAAACCAGAGUUGAUAUUUUCUGGGUAUUGCAUUGUUGUAAUUAUGUAAAAUGUAAUUUUGAUUAUGAAAAAAAGGGUAUGAGAUUGCAUUUAAAACUUGUUUUUAUAUUUUGGCAUAAUGAUCUGAAAAGAAACUUAAAACUAAUAAUAUUUUUCAUUUGCAAGUACAAGCCUUUUUUUCUAGGACUUUUGUGUACACGUCUGAUCACCUCAUUUAGAUGGGGCAUAUAUGCAUGUAUGAACGUAUGAUAUAAAUAAAAGAACUAUAUUUGAAAAGAAAGGA
Stegodyphus dumicola is the source of this 1171-nucleotide long non-coding RNA. RefSeq lists it as uncharacterized. NCBI's taxonomy places the organism in Eukaryota, Metazoa, Arthropoda, Arachnida, Araneae, Eresidae. The record is from RefSeq and is a predicted model, not a curated record.